Molecule: ribosomal RNA, 253 nt
Filed under: uncultured bacterium
Lineage: Bacteria
Description: partial 16S ribosomal RNA
Rfam family: Bacterial small subunit ribosomal RNA
Source: RNAcentral
UACGAAGGGGGCUAGCGUUGUUCGGAAUUACUGGGCGUAAAGCGCACGUAGGCGGGUUGUUAAGUCAGGGGUGAAAUCCUGGAGCUCAACUCCAGAACUGCCUUUGAUACUGGCAACCUAGAGACUGGAAGAGGUUAGUGGAAUUCCCAGUGUAGAGGUGAAAUUUGUAGAUAUUGGGAAGAACACCAGUGGCGAAGGCGGCUAACUGGUCCAGCACUGACGCUGAGGUGCGAAAGCGUGGGGAGCAAACAGG